Molecule: long non-coding RNA, 567 nt
Filed under: Carica papaya (papaya)
Lineage: Eukaryota; Viridiplantae; Streptophyta; Magnoliopsida; Brassicales; Caricaceae
Description: long non-coding RNA (CPAP_LNC009763)
Source: RNAcentral
AAUUUAGAAAAAAAUCAUAAAAUGGCGAAAUGGGAGAAAGCCAGCUCGCGGGAAAACUGUUUGCCCACGAAGGUGUUGGGCACUAUGCGAGCGUGCAUGUGCGCACAGUGGCUGCGGGACGUACGCACAGCGUGCAAGUCCCAUCUGCACGCCAGCACUGAUGGGAAGUGCGCACAGUGCGCACGGUGUGGGGUCAGGACCUGCAUGUGCGUCCUGUCGCACGCAGGCGGGCCAUCUAUGUCACAUUGUGCAUGGAUUAGCGUUGCACACUGUGCACAUGUCGUUCGUGUAGUAGGCCUACGCGGACAAGCCCUGUGCACUUGGGGCUUGCACGCAGGCUAGCCCCUGUGUGCACAAUAGCAGGCUUGUGCACAUGCAGCGUGAUGGUCAGGCACUGCCACCUCGGGCAGUGCACCACCGUCGCUGGUGGAGGAAAUUUUCCUCCAUUUUUCGUGCCAAAAAUAUUUUUCUCCUUUCUCUUCACCAGAUUUUGCCACUUGGCGUGAAUUCAACAUUUUUAAAAUUCUAUAAAUUGCCUUUCCCUUCCCUUCCUCUCCACCCUUCUAU